GAUGAACGCUGGCGGCGUGCUUAACACAUGCAAGUCGAACGAGAAGUGGAGACGGAAACCUUCGGGCGGAAGACUUUAUUUCGAGUGGCGGACGGGUGAGUAACGCGUGGGUAACCUGCCUCAUACAGGGGGAUAACAGUUGGAAACGACUGUUAAUACCGCAUAAGACCACAGCACCGCAUGGUGCGGGGGUAAAAACUCCGGUGGUAUGAGAUGGACCCGCGUUCGUUUAGCCAGUUGGCGGGGUAACGGCCCACCAAAGCGACGAUCGAUAGCCGAUCUGAGAGGAUGACCGGCCACAUUGGGACUGAGACACGGCCCAAACUCCUACGGGAGGCAGCAGUGGGGAAUAUUGCACAAUGGGGGAAACCCUGAUGCAGCGACGCCGCGUGAGUGAAGAAGUAUUUCGGUAUGUAAAGCUCUAUCAGCAGGGAAGAAAAUGACGGUACCUGAGUAAGAAGCCCCGGCUAACUACGUG
RNAcentral lists this ribosomal RNA (478 nucleotides) under uncultured bacterium. Its description in RNAcentral is "partial 16S ribosomal RNA". It matches the Rfam family "Bacterial small subunit ribosomal RNA", at positions 28 to 507 of the family's 1533-position model. The record is from RNAcentral.